GGCGGGCGCUGUGGCGCGUGCCUGUAGUCCCAGCUACUCGAGAGGCUGAGGCAGGAGGAUCGCUUGAGCCCAGGAGUUCUGGGCUCUAGUGCGCUAUGCCGGUCAGGUGUCUGCACUAAGUUUGGCAUCAAUAUGGUGACCUCCCAGGAUCAGGGGACCACCAGGUUGCCUAAGGAGGGGUGAACCAGCCCAGGUCGGAAAUGGAGCAGGUAAAAACUCCUGUGCUGAUCGGUGGUAGGAUCGCGCCUAUGAAUAGUCACUGCACUCCUGGCCUAGGCAACAUAGCGAGAUCCCGUCUCUA
RNAcentral lists this signal recognition particle RNA (301 nucleotides) under Pteropus alecto (black flying fox). RNAcentral describes it as "Metazoan signal recognition particle RNA". It matches the Rfam family "Metazoan signal recognition particle RNA". From Rfam's summary of the family: The signal recognition particle (SRP) is a universally conserved ribonucleoprotein. It is involved in the co-translational targeting of proteins to membranes. The record is from Rfam by way of RNAcentral. Lineage: Eukaryota; Metazoa; Chordata; Mammalia; Chiroptera; Pteropodidae.